RNAcentral lists this small RNA (111 nucleotides) under Francisella tularensis subsp. tularensis TI0902. The record is from RNAcentral. Lineage: Bacteria; Pseudomonadati; Pseudomonadota; Gammaproteobacteria; Thiotrichales; Francisellaceae.
AAUACCCUAAUUGUAAAAAAACGUAGACAUUUUGCGAAAAAAUAUCUAAAAUUAUAAAUGUACCAAAUAAUUAAUGCUCUGUAAUCAUUUAAAGGUAUUUUGAACGGACCU